AUUGAACGCUGGCGGCAGGCCUAACACAUGCAAGUCGAACGAGUGGCGGACGGGUGAGUAAUGUCUGGGAAACUGCCUGAUGGAGGGGGAUAACUACUGGAAACGGUAGCUAAUACCGCAUACCAUCGGAUGUGCCCAGAUGGGAUUAGCUAGUAGGUGGGGUAAAGGCUCACCUAGGCGACGAUCCCUAGCUGGUCUGAGAGGAUGACCAGCAACCCGGGAACUGAGACACGGUCCAGACUACGACGGGAGGCAGCAGUGGGGAAUAUUGCGCAAGGGGCGAAAGCCGGAUCCAGCCAUGCGGAGUGUAUGAAGAAGGCCUUCGGGUUGUAAAGUACUUUCGGCGGAGAGGCGUUACCCGAAGAAAAAGCACCGGCUAACUCCGUGCCAGCAGCCGCGGUAAUUG
RNAcentral lists this ribosomal RNA (406 nucleotides) under uncultured bacterium. RNAcentral describes it as "partial 16S ribosomal RNA". It matches the Rfam family "Bacterial small subunit ribosomal RNA", at positions 29 to 527 of the family's 1533-position model. The record is from RNAcentral.